Molecule: ribosomal RNA, 253 nt
Filed under: uncultured bacterium
Lineage: Bacteria
Description: partial 16S ribosomal RNA
Rfam family: Bacterial small subunit ribosomal RNA
Source: RNAcentral
UACGAAGGGGGCUAGCGUUGCUCGGAAUCACUGGGCGUAAAGGGUGCGUAGGCGGGUCUUUAAGUCAGGGGUGAAAUCCUGGAGCUCAACUCCAGAACUGCCUUUGAUACUGAAGAUCUUGAGUUCGGGAGAGGUGAGUGGAACUGCGAGUGUAGAGGUGAAAUUCGUAGAUAUUCGUAAGAACACCAGUGGCGAAGGCGACUUUCUGGCCCGAUACUGACGCUAAGGCGCGAAAGCGUGGGGAGCAAACAGG